Molecule: non-coding RNA, 29 nt
Filed under: Cricetulus griseus (Chinese hamster)
Lineage: Eukaryota; Metazoa; Chordata; Mammalia; Rodentia; Cricetidae
Source: RNAcentral
UGGACUGAUAAGUGUACAUUCAAUUACAG